Non-coding RNA from Danio rerio (zebrafish), 82 nucleotides. Lineage: Eukaryota; Metazoa; Chordata; Actinopteri; Cypriniformes; Danionidae. The record is from Rfam.
GGUAGCGUGGCCGAUGGGUCUAAGGCACUGGCUUUAAGCUCCAGUCUCUUUGGGGGCGUGAGUUCAAAUCCCACCAUUGCCA